CAAUAGCGUAUAUUAAAGUUGUUGCAGUUAAAAAGCUCGUAGUUGGAUUUCUGGUUGAAGCGACCGGUCGGGCGUUGAUUCGUCUGCACUGGAGUCGGUUUUGGCCAUCCUCUAGGAAAGUGCGUCUGGUAUUAAGUUAUCGGGCGUAUGAUCCUGGUCUUUUACUGUGAAAAAAUUAGAGUGUCUAAAGCAGGCCUUCGCCUUGAAUACAUUAGCAUGGAAUAAUAAGAUAGGACUUUGGUCUAUUUUGUUGGUUUGCAGACCGAAGUAAUGAUUAAUAGGGAUAGUUGGGGGUAUUUAUAUUCCGAUGUCAGAGGUGAAAUUCUUAGAUUUUCGGAAGAUAAACUUAUGCGAAAGCAUUUACCAAGGAUGUUUUCAUUAA
RNAcentral lists this ribosomal RNA (382 nucleotides) under uncultured eukaryote. Its description in RNAcentral is "partial 18S ribosomal RNA". It matches the Rfam family "Eukaryotic small subunit ribosomal RNA", at positions 592 to 976 of the family's 1831-position model. The record is from RNAcentral.